CACUUUAUUUUGUAUGAAUUUCCCUCCCUUUCUUUUUACCCUUCUUUUUUGCUUUGGUCAUGAUUAUACUAUAGUUGUCCCCCACUAUAACUUCUACCCUCCACCCUAUUUAUCAUCUUUCUUAAUAACAGAGUUUUCAAAACUCCUCUGAGACUACACAGUUUUGGUUGGAAAGAUCAGAAGUGAAAAAAGGGUCGGUUGGUCAGAGAGAUAACAUGGAUGUUCUUCUGUAUUCUCUGUGAUUUACCAUCAUCGGAGACAUCCUUAACCUUGUUGACCUGAGGUUGCACCAAGUUAUUCGCAUUGUGGAGAUUUUGACCCAAUACAGCAAAUGGGUGCCUUAGCUGCUGAUUGAUGAUUGUUCCAGAUACUCUAUGUGCUCUAUCUCCAAAGUUGCAACUUUCAGUGAGAUCAGGAAUGUGGGAUCUCCUGAAAUGGGGAAAUAAAAAGGAUUUCGACUUGAGGCCAUUACUAUGUAUAUACAUAAUUCUACAUUUAUCAUUUAUGCUAUGGUACCUCAUUCUCUUAACAAGGGCAGCACUAUCAGUUGUUCCAUCUGUAUUGAACCCAUUUUGGAGUAAAAUUCUUUUGUUAUUAGGAUUUAUACAUGAAUUACUAUUCUCUUUGGCCAAAGCUUCAUA
Molecule: long non-coding RNA, 641 nt
Organism: Gossypium arboreum
Lineage: Eukaryota; Viridiplantae; Streptophyta; Magnoliopsida; Malvales; Malvaceae
Exons: 2
Source: RefSeq, a predicted model, not a curated record